This is a regulatory RNA element of Jeotgalibacillus soli, 129 nucleotides long. It matches the Rfam family "PyrR binding site". From Rfam's summary of the family: This family represents the PyrR binding site and terminator structure. This RNA structure is found upstream of a variety of genes involved in pyrimidine biosynthesis and transport. The record is from Rfam. NCBI's taxonomy places the organism in Bacteria, Bacillati, Bacillota, Bacilli, Caryophanales, Caryophanaceae.
CAACCUUUAAAUGAAGUCCCGUGAGGCUUUCAAAGGCGAAUUGAGUGAUGAACCAGGUGAGAACUAAGAAUUUUCCUGGACAGAAGCUUGAAAACACCUUUGGGGACCUCCUCAAAGGUGUUUUUUUAU